Molecule: ribosomal RNA, 459 nt
Filed under: uncultured bacterium
Lineage: Bacteria
Description: partial 16S ribosomal RNA
Rfam family: Bacterial small subunit ribosomal RNA
Source: RNAcentral
CCUACGGGUGGCAGCAGUGAGGAAUAUUGGUCAAUGGUCGGGAGACUGAACCAGCCAAGCCGCGUGAGGGAUGAAGGUACAGAGUAUCGUAAACCUCUUUUGCCAGGGAACAAAGGCGGGGACGUGUCCCCGGAUGAGUGUACCUGACGAACAAGCAUCGGCUAACUCCGUGCCAGCAGCCGCGGUAAUACGGAGGGUGCGAGCUUUAUCCGGAUUUCUUGGGUUGAAGGGGUGCGCAGGCGGUCUGGUAAGUCAGCGGACAAAGCCCGGGGCACAACCCCGGCCCGCCGUUGAAACUGGCAGUCUCGAGUGGGAGAGAAGUAGGCGGAAUGCGCGGUGUAGCGGUGAAAUGCAUAGAUAUCGCGCAGAACUCCGAUUGCGAAGGCAGCAUGCCGGCUCCACACUGACGCUGAGGCACGAAAGCGUGGGUAUCGAACAGGAUUAGAUACCCGAGUAGUC